Molecule: ribosomal RNA, 496 nt
Filed under: uncultured bacterium
Lineage: Bacteria
Description: partial 16S ribosomal RNA
Rfam family: Bacterial small subunit ribosomal RNA
Source: RNAcentral
GAUGAACGCUGGCGGCGUGCCUAAUACAUGCAAGUCGAGCGAACGGACGAGAAGCUUGCUUCUCUGAUGUUAGCGGCGGACGGGUGAGUAACACGUGGAUAACCUACCUAUAAGACUGGGAUAACUUCGGGAAACCGGAGCUAAUACCGGAUAAUAUUUUGAACCGCAUGGUUCAAAAGUGAAAGACGGUCUUGCUGUCACUUAUAGAUGGAUCCGCGCUGCAUUAGCUAGUUGGUAAGGUAACGGCUUACCAAGGCAACGAUGCAUAGCCGACCUGAGAGGGUGAUCGGCCACACUGGAACUGAGACACGGUCCAGACUCCUACGGGAGGCAGCAGUAGGGAAUCUUCCGCAAUGGGCGAAAGCCUGACGGAGCAACGCCGCGUGAGUGAUGAAGGUCUUCGGAUCGUAAAACUCUGUUAUUAGGGAAGAACAUAUGUGUAAGUAACUGUGCACAUCCUGACGGUACCUAAUCAGAAAGCCACGGCUAACUACGU